This 68-nucleotide transfer RNA is filed under the name Cercopithecus hamlyni (owl-faced monkey). RNAcentral's name for it is "tRNA-Gly". The record is from RNAcentral. Lineage: Eukaryota; Metazoa; Chordata; Mammalia; Primates; Cercopithecidae.
ACUCUUUUAGUAUAACUAGUACAAUUGACUUCCAAUCAAUUAGGUUUGAUAAUAUUCAAAAAGGAGUA